This 495-nucleotide ribosomal RNA is filed under the name uncultured bacterium. RNAcentral describes it as "partial 16S ribosomal RNA". It matches the Rfam family "Bacterial small subunit ribosomal RNA", at positions 28 to 507 of the family's 1533-position model. The record is from RNAcentral.
GAUGAACGCUGGCGGCGUGCCUAAUACAUGCAAGUAGAACGCUGAAGGAGGAGCUUGCUCUUCUGGAUGAGUUGCGAACGGGUGAGUAACGCGUAGGUAACCUGCCUGGUAGCGGGGGAUAACUAUUGGAAACGAUAGCUAAUACCGCAUGACAACAGUUAUUGCAUGAUAACUGUUUAAAAGGGGCAACUGCUCCACUACCAGAUGGACCUGCGUUGUAUUAGCGAGUUGGUGAGGUAACGGCUCACCAAGGCGACGAUACAUAGCCGACCUGAGAGGGUGAUCGGCCACACUGGGACUGAGACACGGCCCAGACUCCUACGGGAGGCAGCAGUAGGGAAUCUUCGGCAAUGGACGGAAGUCUGACCGAGCAACGCCGCGUGAGUGAAGAAGGUUUUCGGAUCGUAAAGCUCGGUUGUAAGAGAAGAACGAGUGUGAGAGUGGAAAGUUCACACUGUGACGGUAUCUUACCAGAAAGGGACGGCUAACUACGUG